This 492-nucleotide ribosomal RNA is filed under the name uncultured Denitratisoma sp. RNAcentral's name for it is "bacterial SSU rRNA". It matches the Rfam family "Bacterial small subunit ribosomal RNA", at positions 8 to 492 of the family's 1533-position model. Lineage: Bacteria; Pseudomonadati; Pseudomonadota; Betaproteobacteria; Nitrosomonadales; Sterolibacteriaceae. The record is from RNAcentral.
AGAGUUUGAUCAUGGCUCAGAUUGAACGCUGGCGGCAUGCUUUACACAUGCAAGUCGAACGGUAACGCGGGGGCAACCCUGGCGACGAGUGGCGAACGGGUGAGUAAUACAUCGGAACAUGUCCUGGAGUGGGGGAUAGCUCGGCGAAAGCCGGAUUAAUACCGCAUACGCUCUGAGGAGGAAAGCGGGGGACCUGGUAACGGGCCUCGCGCUGCGGGAGUGGCCGAUGUCGGAUUAGCUAGUUGGUGAGGUAAAGGCUCACCAAGGCGACGAUCCGUAGCUGGUCUGAGAGGAUGAUCAGCCACACUGGGACUGAGACACGGCCCAGACUCCUACGGGAGGCAGCAGUGGGGAAUUUUGGACAAUGGGGGCAACCCUGAUCCAGCCAUGCCGCGUGAGUGAAGAAGGCCUUCGGGUUGUAAAGCUCUUUCGGACGGAACGAAAUGGUUACGGAUAAUACCUGUGACUGAUGACGGUACUUAAGAAGAAGAC